UCUUCUCUCUGCUACAGAUUUCUAACUUAACAGGAAAGGCAGUUUUCCUCAAAAAGGGCAAAGAACAGCGGGAACAGUAGAGGGCACCUUCAACCCCAGCAUGGAAUUGACGUUCCUGCUUCAAAAUGAACCAUCACAGCAAUCUUGGCUUUUUGAUUUGGACCCUCAUUUCUCUUAUAAUUUGAACUUAUAUUGGAGAGAAGGGGCCUGUCUCUUAAGCCAGCUAGUUUUUGUACUGGAUAUUUAUAUAUCAUUUCAUUUGUUCCUUAGUGUUUUUUCAUUUCUAUUAUGAUUUGUUCUGUGGGAUGUGACUUACCGGUGUGUUUUUCACGUUUAUAAAGCUGAAUACUUCUGUAUGUCAGCUUAGCACCCCUAGCAUCAGCCAUGCUACUCUCCUGCUGUGCAUAGAUGGGGGCCUGUCCCCCUGCUGAAUCUCCUGGGUUCCUGCUGUCAACACCUGAAGGUACCCACCAGAUGUGUCUGUCACUUCCCUCCAUCCACCUCUCUUGUGUUUCUCAUGUUUCUGCCUCCCUAGAGACCAUUUCUCUCUAGAGCAGUGCUUUCCAAUAGAAAUACAAUGCCAGACACAUACGUCAUUUUAGAUUUUCUAGUAGUCACUUUAGAAAAGUUAAAAAGAGGCUGGGCAUGGUAGCUCACACCUGUAAUCCCAGCACUUUGGGAGGCUGAGGUGGGCAGAUUAGCUGAGGUCAGGAGUUCGAGACCAGCCUGGCCAACAUGGUGAAACCCCGUCACUACUAAAAAUACAAAAAUUAGCCGGGUAUGGUAGCAGGUGCCUGGGAUUACAGCCUCCCGAGUAGGCUGAGACAUGAGAAUCACUUGAUUCUGGGAGGUGGAGGCUGCAGUGAGCCGAGGUCAUGUGCACCACUGCAAUCCAACCUUGGCAACAGAGCAAGACUUUGUCUCACACAAAAAAAAGAAAAGAAAGAAAAGUUAAAAGGGAGCAGGUGAAAUUAAUAAUGUGUUUUAUUUCACCUAAAAUGUUAGUAUUAUCCAGAAUAUCACUUCAACGUCUUAUCAAAAUAAAAAUUAUUAAUGAGAUAGUUUGCAUUCUUCCUCUUUUUUGAGAUGGGCUCUUGCUUUUUUUUUGGCCCAGGCUGGAAUGCAGUGGCACCAGCAUAGCUCACUGCAGCCUCAAACUCCUGGGCUCGAGAUCCUCCUGCCUCAGCCUUCCUAGUAGUUAGGACUACAGGCACACACCACCAUGCCCAGCUAAUUGUUUUUCUUUUUUGUUUGUUUGUUUUUCUUUUUUUUCUUUUUUCUUUUUUUUUUUUUUUUGAGAGGAAAUCUCACUCUGUCACCCAGGGUGGAGUGCAAUGGCAUGAUCUCAGCUCAUUGCAACCUCCGCCUCCCAGGUUUAAGUGAUUUUCCUGUCUCAGCCUCCCAAGUAGCUGGGACUACAGGCGUGCACCACCAUGCCUAGCUAAUUUUUUUGUAUUUUUAGUAGAGACAGGGUUUCACUAUGUUGGCCAGGCUGGUCUUGAACUCCUGACCUCAGCUGAUCCACCCACCUCGGCCUCCCAAAGUGCUGGGAUUACAGGUGUGAGCCACUGCGCCAAGCCUUUUUUUUUUGAGAUAGGGUGAUAGGGUCUCACUCUGUCACCCAGGCUGCAGUGGUAUGAUCUUGGCUCACUGCAACCUCUGCCUUCCAGGUUCCAGUGAUUUUUCCCACCUCAGCUUCCCUAUUAGCUGGGACUACAGGUACACGCCACCACACCUGGCCAAUUUUUUGUAUUUUUUGUAUACAUAGGGUUUCACCAUGUUGGCCAGGCUGGUCUCGAACUCCUGACGUCAAGUGAUCCAUCUGGCUUGGCCUCCCAAAGUGCUGGGAUUACAGGCGCGAGUCACCGCACUUGGCCUUAGCAAUCUUUCAAGUGCUCAGCAGCCACAUGUGGCAGUGGCUGCCUUAUUGGACAGCGCAGCUCUGAACGGUGAUUUUAUGUACAUCCCCACUGCUCUCUCUGCCUCCUUUAUUCCCAUCUACCCCACACCCCUGAUGUCUAUUGGAGGGAGUCUACUGGGAGUGUGGAGGCUUUCCUGUCCCUAGCAUGGAUGACAUCAGCAGGUGGUGAUGAAAGUGAUUAAACAGCAUUCUCAUCACAAAAAAAAGUCAAGUAUUUGAGGUAAUGGGUUGGUUAAUUUGAUUUCAUCAUUCCACAUCGUAAUGAAAAGUCAUACCAUCAUUUUAUACCCCAUAAAUAUAUAUAAUUUAGAAGAUAGAUAAAAAUCAGCCAAAACAAUUCUUUGAAAUAUUUUUAAGCAAACAUGUACAAUUUAUGGGGUACAAUAUCAUUUGUUAGUAUAUAUAAUUUUUUUUUAUGGGGAGUCAGUUAACACAGGAAACAGCCCCUUGAAAGGGAGAUACCCCCACACCCCUGGAGUAGCCCCUGGAGGACUAUCGCCUCCCUCUCUCCUCUCUUUCUGUCUCAUAUUCCUUUAAUUUGGAGAAUCAUUUCCAAUUCCUUAACAUUCUGGCCUGAUUUUUUUCUGUCUUACAUUCAAAGGUCACAGUUUUCCUCUCACCCUCAUUUCAGUCUUUUCCCAUAAGAUGUGACAUGCCUUUUUGUCUUGGUUGGGCAUUUAUUUGCAAUACAAGAAUGAUUGUUUUCUUUGAUACAUUAAUGACUUAGAUACUUUUCCUAGUAAAAUGUAUCUUAACAGAAUUCCAAAUUAAUUCUAGACAGCAUAUUUUUAAAGGUGUGUAUAGAGCUCCUUAUGUUUCUUCCUUGAUUUUUAAAAUGACAUAUUUAGGUCUAUAUAUUUUAGGAUAUAAGAUCUCUAUGUGUUGCUUUGCUUCAUUGAACAUUUUUGGUGAUUAUUUUUAUUUUCUGUGUAUUUUAGGAUUUCCAUUAAACUAUAUUCUCAUUUCAAAUUUCUAUCUGAGUGAUAGAAUUAUUUUAAUGUAGGAAAGGUUCAUCAAAAAUGGGUGUAGUGAUUGUGUUCUUUCCUAUGCUCGAAUGGAAAAUGAUGAGGGGACAUGAUGUUAGAGUUGCAGUGAGAAGGGGUGGAAAAGAGGGAUUCCAGAGUGCCAGGCACACAGGUUUUCUGGAAGGUUUACAUGAGGACUGCUGUGGUUUGAAUGUGUUCCCCGAAGUUCAUGUGUUGGAAACUCAACCCCUAAUGCAACAGUGUUGACCAGUGGAACCUUUAAGAGGUGAUUAGGUCAUGAAGGCUCUGCCCUCAUGAAUGGAUGAAGCUAGAGUGGGUUAGUUAUCUUGGGAGGGGGUUCCUGAUAAAAGGAUGAGGUUGGCUUCCUUCCCUUUCUCUUUCCCCCUCCCCCCUUCACAUGUGGUCACUCUCUUGCCCUUCCACCUUCCACCAUAGGACGGCACAGUGAGACCUUCACCAGAUGCAGGCCCCUCACUUUCCCAGUGUUCAGAACCGUAAACCAAGUGAACUCUUGCUUAUAAAUCACCCAGUCUGUGGUAUUCUGUUAUAGCAACACAAACGGACUAAGAGAGGGACACUCAGUGGGCUCUUCUCUCUACUUGAUGGAGCACUCCCUGCGUGGUGCCUUGUAUUUGUAGACAUGAUGCUGUAAAUGUUUUUUGAAUGUCUUGAAGGCUUUUGUUUGAGGAGUUUACAGAGAAGCCCCUACAGGCUUCAGGUCCCUUCUUCUGUUGCUUCUUUGCUCCUUAGUUCCUCCCCUAACCUGGUGCUAAAUUAGAUCAUAGUGUGGUCCUUGGACCAACAGUAUCAAUAGCACCUGAAAGUCAUGCUGGAAAUACAGAUUCACAGGCUGCUCCCCAGAAUACUGAAGAAGAAACUCUAGGAGUGAGACCCAACAAUCUGUGUUUAACAAGUCCCCAGGCCCCUGGAUCCUCCUGGAAUCCCUGAUCCCUGUUGCUCCCUGGCGGAGUUUUCUAGUCCCUCUUACUUGAAGCAUGUCUUUCAGAGCCCGGCACCACCCAAGUUGGGUAUCUGAUACCCCAUCAGCCUGAGUCUCUUAAAGGCCUUUAUACACAUAUGUCUACACAUAGGGAUUUGGAUGAUCUCGGGAUCCCACAUCCUCGCUGUCCCCUGUCCCCCCACAACAUCCCACACCAAUACCUUUCUGAAGUUUUCUAGUCCCUCCUUUUUGUUUGUGGUCCUUAAAGCCCAGCCCCAUGCCUGACUUUGGUUCCCAGUGAGCAUUGUACAUUUGUGGAUAUUAAAUCUUUGGCAAAGUCAUUUACCUGGGCUGGAAUAGGGCUCUUGGCUGAUUCUUUUUCCUAAACACCCACCCAAUGGGAGAGGCUGAUACUCAACAUGCAAACCUUGUGUUUUAUUUCUCCAGGCGAAGGGAUGUUGGAAGACAUUCUGGAAGGGGUGGGGUGUGAAGAUUUACAAAUAAUCUUUGAAUAUCUGCUUCAUGAUAGGUCUUGGAGGUGCCUUGUGGGUGUGGCUUUGGGGGGAUGGUUACGAGGAAAUUGUGGAUAUUAAGGAAGUCAGGAAAGGAAAAGAUCAGUCACAAUUCAACAAUUCAGAGAAAGCUCCUAAGGGACUUUCUGGCUGCUUGAUGCCCAGAGGCCAGGCCCUCACUUCGUAUUAAGGCUCAGGACUGUGGAUAGAGAAUUUAAAGGGGCACCAAAAAAACAUUAAAAUAGAUAAACAUAUUUUUAAUGGAAUACCUUUAAAAAUGCAAAUCAAUGCACAAAGAAAACGCCCA
Molecule: long non-coding RNA, 4666 nt
Filed under: Homo sapiens (human)
Lineage: Eukaryota; Metazoa; Chordata; Mammalia; Primates; Hominidae
Description: HSALNT0259412
Source: RNAcentral